This 84-nucleotide unclassified non-coding RNA is filed under the name soil metagenome. RNAcentral describes it as "partial internal transcribed spacer 1". The record is from RNAcentral.
CUGUGAUUAAACUUUCUACACUGCGUGAGCGGCAACUACAACACGAAAACGUAUGUACUAUUGUCAAAAUUAACAAAACAAACA